UUAUAUAGGAAGAUAAGUGCAGUGCUUUCAGUUCACAAGGCAUGGCAUAAAUAGUUCUAAAGGAAAACUUUGUCUUGAGAAACAAUAGACUGGGUUAUAUUCAGGUGUGAUGUGCUAAAAGUGCAUCAGUAUAGCAUUUCCAAGUUCUAAGUUCUAACUAGAAAUCCCCGGCCUAAUCUAUGGACGCCUGUCGCAAUAUUACAAUGUGUGCAUGAACCACCAUCAGAUUGUACUACUGUUAUUUUCCGAACACAUCGGGUUGCGCCAUAGUUAUAAAGUUAUCGACCAGAUGAAGACUAGUUGCAUUUAUCCCUAAAAAAGGAAUGUUGCAUUUAGCUUCCCAGUCAUUGGGGGCUGACAACUAGAGCAUACAGCUCGGCCAAAAUGGGAAGUCAAGCGGCCUAAAUUUCAAGUUCACAAACUAGACAAGACUCUUUCCACAAUAUAAGGUGGGCAGUUUUCGCAACUUGGCACCACCGUGGAGUGGGAGACGGCAAUGAGAGAAGCACAUGUGAAAGCUAGAAGCACGAGACAGCAGUUGAGAGUUGAGGCGAAACAUUCUCCCUGACUUCCUUGCCGUUGCUGAUUCACUUGGUUGUCGGCCUGCUUUGCCGGCCCAGCAAGCCCACUUGGUCACCUCGGAAGGUGGGGCUAUUACGUUUUCGCUCCGCUCCUUAUAAAGCCGACGCGCACAAAGAGAUAUUAGGUUUUCACUUCCCUCCUCAUUGAGCCGCCGCACACAAUUCAUCCCUUCCCGUAGAACUUCUUAGUGGAGAACCGCAGACCAUCGCCACCAGCGGCCUAACCCAGCAGCGGCACCCUAGGGAAGAACUCGCUACCUCUUACGGUAAGGCACCCUUGUCGCCAGCCUAAGAAGCAGAUCUAGGCGGGGAUGGCGAUGGCUGACUCCACCUCCCGGUUAGUCUCUCGUCUCCUCUAUCUUACUACUCUAGAUCUCAAUCUAGUUGUUCACUUUUUUUUUUGCUACUCUUCCUCUACCUUCAUCUCAUCGACUCAAUUUUGUUGCUUUGUUCUAGGUCAAGGUAUCGGUUAUUAUUUCCUCUAAUCCACUUGGUCUUAUUGAUUUGAUCUAGAUCAAGGUAUAUGUUCUACUACUCUAGAUCUCAAUCUAGUUGUUCUCUUUGUUUUGCUACUCCUUCCUCCAAUCGACUGUAUCUUGUUGCUUUGUUCUAGAUCGGAAGAAUUCGCUAUCUGCAAAGCCCCUCUGUCACCCACCCAGGAAGCAGAUCUAGGUGGGGAUGGUGAUGGUGUGUUGUGAUGACUGACUCCACCUCCCGGUUAGUCUCCCGUCUCCUCUAUUUUACUACUCUAGAUCUCAAUCUUGUUGUUCUCUUUUUUUUUUUUUUGCUACUGCUUCCCUACCUUCCUCUAAUCGACUCAUUCGUGUUGUUUGUUCUAGAUCAAAGGUAUCGGCUCUUCUUCCUCUAAUCGAUUCGGUCUUGUUGCUUUGUUCCAGAUCAAGGUAUCUAUUUUACUACUCUAGAUCUCGAUCUAGCUGUUACCUUUUAUUUGCUACUACUCACUCUACCUUCGUCUAAUUGACUUGGUCUUGUUGCUUUGUUCUAGAUCAAGGUAUUGGCUAUGCUUCCUCUAAUUGACUCAGUCUUGUUGCUUUGUUCUAGAUCAGGGUAUUUACAACUAAUCUCGAUCUAGUUGUUCUCUUUGUUUUGCUAAUCCUUCCUCUACCUUCCUCUAAUCAAUUUGGUCUUACUACUUUGUUCUAGAUCGGAAGAACUCGCUACCGGCAAAGCACCUUUGUGGCACACCCAAGAAGCAGAUCUAGGUGGGGAUGGCUAUGGCGUGCUGCGAUGGUUGGAUCCAGCUCCCAGUUAGUUUCCCGUCUUCUCUAUUUUACUAUUCUAGAGUAGAUCUCAACCUAGUUGUUCUCUCUUUUUUGGCUACUCCUUACUCUAAUCGACUCAGUCUUGUUGCUUUGUUACAGAUCAAGGUAUCUGCUAUUCUUCCUCUAAUCGACUCGGGUCUUAUUCCAUUGUUCUAGAUCAAGGUAUCUAUUGUACUAAUCUAGAUCUCGAUCUAGUUGUUACCUUCUAUUUGCUACUCCUUCAUCUACCUUCCUCUAAUCGACUUGGUCUUGUUGCUUUGUUCUAGAUCAAGGUAUCGGCUAUUCUUCCUCUAAUUGACGCGGUCUCAUUGCUAUGUUCUAGAUAAAGAUCAGAAGAACUCGCUACCGGUAAAGCACCUUCGUGGCCCACCCAAGAAGCAGAUCUAGGCGGGGAUGGCGAUGGCGUGCUGUGGUAGCUCAUAGCUGAAUGUACCUCCCAAUAGUUCAAGUCAUCAUUGAUCACUCGCUCUCGUAGCAAAGGAGUUGGAGUGGCUGGUGCCAUGGAUGGAGUCUGGUGCAAUCGCCUAGACAGGUAUGCCUUUUCCACUCUUUUUCUUGCUUGCAUCUUCUUUCUUUCUUCAUUGUGAGGUUAUUGCCAGACUAGCGCCUAAACGGUAGAUGGAAGUAUAUUUCCGACAUAAACGGUCUCGAGAUUACGUGAUAAGUUCCGAUGGCAUGAAAAAACUGUUUUUAAGGCAAUUAUGGUUGCUAAUAAUAAGUCAACGACCAGCCCCAAGCUUGCGCGCGCGGGGAGAGGGCGGGUGGCGGAGGAGUUGUUC
This is a long non-coding RNA of Hordeum vulgare subsp. vulgare (domesticated barley), 2643 nucleotides long. RefSeq lists it as uncharacterized. The record is from RefSeq and is a predicted model, not a curated record. The transcript is spliced from 3 exons. NCBI's taxonomy places the organism in Eukaryota, Viridiplantae, Streptophyta, Magnoliopsida, Poales, Poaceae.